UGUGUAUGGGCACAGUAUGUGUGUAUGGGCACAGUAAGUGUGUAGUUGGAAAGAGAGAGCUAAAGAGGUUUUGAGCUGUGUAAGUGAAAUACCGAAAGGAAUCAAUUAAUGAACAAAAGAAAAGAUACGUUUAUCAUUCAGUAGAUUUUCUUUGCUGGGGAUAAUUUUGUUUUAACUUAUUAUCUUCUAUGUAUAAUCCUUUGAUUUCUACUGGACUAUAAUUAUGUAGCGUCCGUCGAGUGAAAGGGGCCAUAUCACCACAGAAAGGCGACCAGAAAAUCGACAAAGUACGCAAAUACGAGAAUAAAUCAAGUCACAUUACAACUUAGAAUUACUGAGAAGUGAAAGUAGGGACAAAUAAAGCAGAAGAUGACCUACUUAGCUUUGAUUACCUUGACCUAUUUUAUAGCAGCAUUCGCAGAAGCUAAUACCGACAAAAAAGCCUGGGCAUGCGAAGGUAUGCAAACAGUUCUAGUCUGCCAUGAAGGCUCCAUAAAUGUAACCUCAGCCCGAUAUGGAUUCUUCGGGCAAAAUUGUAAUCACGAACCGGAACACAAUGACAUUGUUUGCUAUGACAAGACAGCCCGGAAACAUGUCUCGUACUUAUGUCAAGGGCGACAGUUCUGCACCAUAAAUGUCAGCAGCAAAGUGUUUGAGAACCCUUGUGCUAAAUUUAUUCAAAAACAUUUAGAAAUAAAUUAUAAUUGUGGACACAAGUGAUUGGCGAACUUUUUAUCCUAUGACAAGUACAAAACCUUUGUACCUGCACAUUUUUUCGAUAUUGCCCUAGUUAGUGUAGCACUGUAGAAUUUAAGAUACCUUAGCGCAGUAAAGCAAUAAGUUAGAAAGGUCCUUUCGAUAUUAUUAUACAUUUACUUCUUAAAAACAUAUUUAAGUAUGAAUUAUGCAGUGUAGAGAUGGAAUCCAUGUUAAUAUAUGCUUAUACUUUAUGUUAUAUUUUAGCUUAACUUAUUUAUAAAUAUAAAAAUGUGUUGUGUGGAUAAUUUAGAGAUGAUAACCCAUGUUGUUGUUUUUUCAUAUCAAAGUCACUGAGAUUUGGUUUGAGAUUCCUUGUAAUACUUUUUUAACCGAAAACAGAGGGAACGCGACGUCAUGACAAGGGGGCACAAGAAGAGGUUCAUUCUUUCAAGGACUAACAAAUCAGUUGCCAUUUCUUGUCCUGUGGAAAGUUUAGACUUAAAAAUUUGAUUAUUUUGGCUUCUGAAGGAACACCCGAAACAUGUCAAACAUUUAAAAUAUAAACGUAUUAAAUUAAAUGACCUCGUUUCAUCUUAAAAGCAAGAUAUUCUCAUUGAUAUUGCGUGAGACGUCUACAUAUAUUUAAAAUGUAACAUGUUUUACAUGUUUCGGAUGUUCCUUCAGAGUUUAAGAUAGUUUACUUCCUAGUCCAAACCUCCCUCAGGACGGCGGGGGAUGGGAGCGGGCAGGGUUUGAACCCUGGACCAUCGAUAAAUCUGAACGACAGUCCAGCGCGCAAACCGCACGACCAGGCAGCCAUCCCUUAUCGGUUCAUAACGUCAUUGAAAGAAAUUAUUUAAGACUUCAGCGCUCCAAAUACGUCUCUUGAUUAUCGGCUUGCCCAAUUAAUUUUCCCAAAGUUAUUUAAUCUGCGCUCUUCUUACUAGGAGGAGAAGUAGUGCGUUGUGUAGAUGUUAGGAAUUUCCGAAGUAGGGCACAGGAUAACUCUUGGUGACGGAACAUCGCUUACAUCUUCUUAGACUGUUUACUGCACUUUUCCCGAGCCCUUAUUUCUGAGUAACUAAAUGGGGCCUCGAACGUAUUUUUUUUAGUGGUUUGGAUAGAGGUAGAGAGGCGUCACCAAUAAAAGUUUGAUAAACCCUGGUUUACUUACAUGUAAACUAAUUCUAGAUCUGAUACCUGUAGAUGUUCAGAAACGAGGGCCUACUUAUAUAUACAUGGCUUAUUGUAAAUAUAUUUGUGAAAGAAAAUCAAGAUUUCUGAACACUGUAUAUCCGCUAAAAGAUAAAAGCAACAUUCCUAUUUAUGAAAACAUAUUAUACAAAACGUGUCCUUUUUUUUUUUUUAACCUGUUUUGAUUCUAAUAUUAGUUCCUUUUGUGUCACUUGAAAUUUGAGUUUGACAAUAUAUAUAUACCAGGUGACAGCCACUAUCCUCUCUGAAUAAGUAUACUUGCUUUUCAAAGAUUUGUCGCAUUGAGUCCUGUUGAGUCAACAAAUAAUGUUUUCUUAGCAUUGAUAACCCUCCAGAAUUUAGAUCUAACUAGCCGGAUGUGACCCUCGGCCUGCUGCCUUAAUUAGUGUAUUACUGAUCUAGUGGAAUACAUUUAGAGCUACGACAAACACGGAGAAUGCCCCUUUUUUUUUUUACUUCUGCCACGAAAAAAAAAAAAAAGUAGAUUGUAAAAAAAAAGUUUACCCAUUCAGCCGAAAUAUUACAUAUUUAAAACGCCGGAUUUGUCGAAAGUUUUGUUCUUUAAUAAAGAUGAAUUCAGGUAAUUUUGAAACAAUUUUAUGGUCCUCCGGAUGUAGGAAAGAAAUUAAACUUACACUACGGUCUCUGACCUGAUCCAAGAAACAUUUUUGCCAAGUUUUAUUCAGAUUUGGUCAAGCGGUUUUGAUUUCUAUGCGGGACAUAGAUACAUAUAUAAAUACAUACAUACACCUUACUUCCAAUUUUAUAUAUUAAAUUAAUGCAAUUUUAUUCAAUCUUUAAAGAAAAGUUUGAGUUGUACCCGAAGCUAUGUACAUCGGUAGUUGUUUGUUUUUUUUGAAAUUAUAUUCUUUCAUUUUCAAAUUACUACUUAAAUAUCUUUGACCAGUUCAAGUUACUGUGCUUUACAAAUGUCUGUACUUGUUAUUUAUAUUUUCAUAUUGUGAUUAUUUACUGCUAUAACAAAGAUAUAUUUGUAUUUAUUUAAAAAAUAAUGACAACUAUAAGCUGACAAGAAACAUUGACACAUAGGGACUUUACCUUUACCUAUCCCUUAGUCUGUUGGACCGUUGGGGCACCAGGCAAGACUUGUCGACCGUCUUUCUCCAUUCCUCCCUUUUUUUUUUGCCUUGUUUAGAACCUCUCUCACUGGCAGGCCCGUCCAUGGGAACUACGGAACUAGAAAUCAAAAUAAAUAUUGGCUUAAAAUAGUCAAUUGUAAAUAAUGAAAAAAUACAAAUAAAAAAAUAACAUUGCACCAUCCUGAAAGAAUUAUUUACAUUAUUUACAUUAUUUACAUUUUAAUGUAUACCGGCUGUGAUAUUUCGGUUGUGUGAUUAUUUGGUAUGGAAACUAAGACAUGGUGAAAACGUAGACCCUGACUUAACAGAAGGCUGAGAGGUUAGCGCUUGACUUCCGAACCAGUGGGUCCAGGGCUCGAAAAGUAAAGGCGGUUGGCCGUUCUACUGUCACAUGACACACUCAUUAAGCAUAGGCCAGAGAAACAGAACACGUGAUCUUUGGAUUACCUGCCCUAUAGAUAAGAAUGUGUGAAAGGGGAACUUUACGAUUUAUUUGUUAUUAUUUUAUAAAUAAAAAAAAACAUUUGUGUUAAAAUACAAUUAUAUUACAACUUUUUAUUGAAUGAGUUAUUUAUGUAAUUUUAUAUAAUAUUUUUUUAUAUUUUUAAAGCGAUGUUAAAAACAAAAUGUAGUCUCGUAUGACGAUGUGUUAACAUUAUAAAACAUAAACAUAUCUAUUAUUCUUUUUCUUAAUAUUUUGAUUUCAAUGCAAUUGUUCUACAGAAAAAGGUGACCUUUACAUCAUCUGCCUCUUAGCUCGCAAGGUUUAAAAGAGGAUUUUUAAUAUUUUUUUCUACUUAUGUUACUACUUUUAAAAAAAAAAUGAGUUAUAUAUAUAUAGGCCCCUAUAUAUAUUGUUACAUCUCUCCUACUAUCCAGGCUCUCUUUAAACUGCACCGCACGACACAACGAACUUAAAGAACCUCACAACUCAGGGCUCCAAAGUAUCAAUCAGUUUAAUUUCAAAUACAUCGCAAUUGUCUUUACAAAAACCUAGUCUUGCUCCGCCUGACUUGACACACCGUGCUGGAUUCUCGCCUCGUACUGGUCACAUUGCGAGGUAACGUGAAGUCCCGUCUUUCUGACACUCGCUCUUAUAUAGUGUCUCUACUGGCCUACUCGAACCUUCUUGACCACUCCAGUUGAUCACUUUCGCCCGUGACUUGCGUGCGUACUGCGUAGUAUUUACGACAUUGGUCCUUGCCGAACUGGCGUGUACUGUCACUGGUCACGGUUGACCGCUCGUCCUGCGCUGGACUGUGGCGAUUUGGGUAGGCUAAAAACACAGAGCACUACCCCCAUCUGUGUCUCCACCAAGUUUACAACAAUAUAUAUGUAUAUUCUUUUUUCUUAAUAAAAUACUUUUGGAUUUAAAUGUAAUUAUGUUAAAACUUUUUUGCAAAUGAGUUUAUAUAUAUGUUUUGUCGAUUAGUUAGUUAUCUGGAUUAAAGCUAUACAUAUGUAACCUCAUGUGUACAGCUGAAGAUAUCAUUAAAAAAAAAAAUCAUGAAAAGGUAUUUUACAUUUUUUAAAAAUUAUCCGUUGGUGUAAAUACUUGAACAAAUAUAGGCCAAUAUGAACAAAUUAUUAUUUUUUGUGUGCUUGUUUGUUUGUAAAAUGUUUUACAUGUUUCGGAUGUUCCUUCAGAGUUGAAGAUAAUUACUUCCUAGUCCAAACCUACCGCAGGACGACGGGGGAUGGGAGCGGGCAGGGUUUGAACCCGGGACCAUCGAUAAAUCUGAACGACAGUCCAGCGUGCAAACCGCACGACGAGGCAGCCAUCCUUUGUCCAUUUAAUAAGUUAUCUGGCAUUAAAGUUAUUUUUUUAAAACUAUUGUUAUCGAGUGUGUAUGUGUGUGUUUCUAUGGUGAUGUUGAGAAGAGGUUAGUGAUUGGUUGGUGGCUAUGCAGUGUGAAUGAUGCAAGAUAAGGCGCAUUGUCGUAAGUAGUCUUGGGUACGCCAGACGGUUUCAGAAUGCCCGAAAGUAAAGACGUUAUUGUGAGGUUUGUUUUUUUCAAACAAAUUUAAACUAUUACAAUAACUCUAUUUAACCCCCCUUCCAGCUCACCAGUUCGUCAAUUAUGGUUCCAUGAUGCCCAGUUUUGUCAUCCAGGGGGCUGAGGGCUCUGCACUGGGGGUUAGUGCCUCCUCAUGUGGCUGGUGAGACCUAUGUGAGCCCGGAAUGAUCGGCUGCACACUGGGCAGGUUAUUCCAGCUGGAGCUGGUGUCAUUGGCCUUGCUUUUUGUUUUCUUUGACGCUGGUCUUCUGCCGGCGUUGUUCUCUUUUCCUCAGCAAUUUGUGCGCUAGUUUUCACAGCGCGACGCCAGGAUGCUCUGUGAUGUGCUUCUGUCUCCCAGGUGGCUGGGUUUAUGCUGAACGCCUUUAGAGAAGUUUUAAGGGUGUCCCUGAAGCGUUUUCUUUGUCCGCCUUGUGAGCGCUUCCCUUCCUUUAACUUGCCUUACAGAAGUUGUUUAGGGAUGCGGCUUUUUUCCUAAAAAUUUAACAGUUGAUGUAUAUCUCUGAGAAAAGAAUUACUAGCUCGUUGGCCACACUGGAAAAAACUCUAGUUUGAGCGUUAUAAUUUUUCAAAGUAUAAAUGCUAUAAAUUUAAAUUUGGCUCUAAAUUGGAGUAAAAAAAAACAUGGCGUAUUCAGUCGUAGUGUACCGAUAACUCAGUUGUGUUUUUAAAUUUAAAGUUGCUUUACCUUUAUUAAUAGAUCAUCUAAGCGUUGCAUAUUUGUCAAUGUAAAUCUAAUACACAUAACGUCUAUAGUCUAGAUCUAGAAGCAUGUCUAAAUCUAGACUAGACCCUUUAAGAGUUCAAAAUCAGAUACUGUAAUGACGGUAGCAAUAAAUAGUUAGUAAUACAAACCUUUCGGAUCAAAAAGCUAACAGGUGUCGAAAUCACGAGUUUGAUACCCGGUUUAAUCCAAAUUUUUAAAUAUUUUUUAAAAAAUAUUUUGUUUUAUUUUAAGUUGUGUAAUGGAGGUAUUGACUUUUAAAAUAAAAAAGAAAAGUAUUUUUAAAAUGUUUUUCUUGUUUCAUCUCAUGCCAUAUUUGUUAUUGUAAUAAAAGUUAUAUAUAGCUUUGU
Molecule: long non-coding RNA, 6106 nt
Organism: Biomphalaria glabrata
Lineage: Eukaryota; Metazoa; Mollusca; Gastropoda; Planorbidae
Exons: 4
Source: RefSeq, a predicted model, not a curated record